RNAcentral lists this ribosomal RNA (246 nucleotides) under uncultured bacterium. RNAcentral's name for it is "partial small subunit ribosomal RNA". It matches the Rfam family "Bacterial small subunit ribosomal RNA", at positions 26 to 286 of the family's 1533-position model. The record is from RNAcentral.
AGAAUCAACGCUGGCGGCGUGCCUAACACAUGCAAGUCGAACGAGAAAGUGGAGCAAUCCAUGAGUAAAGUGGCGACCGGGUGAGUAACACGUGACUAACCUACCUUCGAGUGGGGAAUAACCUCGGGAAACCGGGGCUAAUACCGCAUAAUGUCUUCGGACCAAAGGAGCAAUUCGCUUGAAGAGGGGGUCGCGGCCGAUUAGCUAGUUGGUGGGGUAACGGCCCACCAAGGCAAUGAUCGGUAG